This 486-nucleotide ribosomal RNA is filed under the name uncultured bacterium. Its description in RNAcentral is "partial 16S ribosomal RNA". The stretch from base 50 to 486 matches the Rfam family "Bacterial small subunit ribosomal RNA", at positions 27 to 507 of the family's 1533-position model. The record is from RNAcentral.
GGGGGGGGGGGGGGGGGGGGGGGGGGGGGGGGGGUGGGGCGGGGGCGGGGGGGGAACGCUGGCGGCGGGCGGCGGGCAGGGGAGUAAUGCAUCGGAACGUAUCCUCGAGCGGGGGAUAACCCAGCGAAAGGUGGGCUAAUACCGCAUGAGCUCUGAGGAGGAAAGCGGGGGACCUGCGAGGGCCUCGCGCUGGAGGAGCGGCCGAUGUCCGAUUAGCUAGCUGGUGGGGUAAAGGCUUACCAAGGCGACGAUCGGUAGCUGGUCUGAGAGGAUGAUCAGCCACACUGGGACUGAGACACGGCCCAGACUCCUACGGGAGGCAGCAGUGGGGAAUUUUGGACAAUGGGGGCAACCCUGAUCCAGCCAUGCCGCGUGAGUGAAGAAGGCCUUCGGGUUGUAAAGCUCUUUCGGACGGAACGAAAUGGGCGGGACUAAUACUCCUGUCUGAUGACGGUACCGUAAGAAGAAGCACCGGCUAACUACGUG